CGAUGUCUAUAGCAACGUCGCACCUACAGAAAUUCGACGUCUCAUUAACGUCACCUAAAGACGUCGGUUCGGGAGGUGAUGUUAAAAGCCCAAAAUAACUAACAUCUAAAGCCCUUGUACGUAAAUUUUUUUUAUAUAUAUAUAUAUAUAUAUGGGCUUGUUAAUGUGCGUACGCCUGUUUUUCAGUUGGUACGUUUUAACAAUGUGUACCGGAUUAUAGUAGACAAAAAUACCCUCAUAUAUCAUGGAUUCUAAGUUUUAAGGUCAAGGAUAUUUAAAUAAUUUUCAUUCUCAAAACUAAAAAAAAAAAAAAGAAACCCCCAAACUUACUCACCUCCCUCAUUUCUCUCAACCAUUUCUCUUUCAUCUCUCUCACUCCAACAUUUUCUCUGUCAUCCCUACUGUUGCCCCAAUUGAAAAAGAAAAAAAUCAGAAACCCUUGCCUAACCCUAAUCCACCUUCCUCACUUAUCCAAUUUGUUUCUCUC
RNAcentral lists this long non-coding RNA (487 nucleotides) under Vigna radiata. Its description in RNAcentral is "long non-coding RNA (VRAD_LNC014584)". The record is from RNAcentral. Lineage: Eukaryota; Viridiplantae; Streptophyta; Magnoliopsida; Fabales; Fabaceae.